GACGAACGCUGGCGGCGUGCCUAAUACAUGCAAGUUGAGCGCUGAAGGUUGGUACUUGUACCGACUGGAUGAGCAGCGAACGGGUGAGUAACGCGUGGGGAAUCUGCCUUUGAGCGGGGGACAACAUUUGGAAACGAAUGCUAAUACCGCAUAAAAACUUUAAACACAAGUUUUAAGUUUGAAAGAUGCAAUUGCAUCACUCAAAGAUGAUCCCGCGUUGUAUUAGCUAGUUGGUGAGGUAAAGGCUCACCAAGGCGAUGAUACAUAGCCGACCUGAGAGGGUGAUCGGCCACAUUGGGACUGAGACACGGCCCAAACUCCUACGGGAGGCAGCAGUAGGGAAUCUUCGGCAAUGGACGAAAGUCUGACCGAGCAACGCCGCGUGGGUGAAGAAGGUUUUCGGAUCGUAAAACUCUGUUGGUAGAGAAGAACGUUGGUGAGAGUGGAAAGCUCAUCAAGUGACGGUAACUACCCAGAAAGGGACGGCUAACUACGUG
Molecule: ribosomal RNA, 497 nt
Filed under: uncultured bacterium
Lineage: Bacteria
Description: partial 16S ribosomal RNA
Rfam family: Bacterial small subunit ribosomal RNA
Source: RNAcentral